Molecule: ribosomal RNA, 356 nt
Filed under: uncultured bacterium
Lineage: Bacteria
Description: bacterial LSU rRNA
Rfam family: Bacterial large subunit ribosomal RNA
Source: RNAcentral
CCGAAUGGGGGAACCCAGCAUGUUGAAGACAUGUUAUCCGUAAGGAGGCAAACCCGGAGAACUGAAACAUCUAAGUACCCGGAGGAGAAGAAAACAAAAGUGAUUCCGCUAGUAGUGGCGAGCGAACGCGGAAUAGCCCAAACCAUUAUUGUUACGGCAAUACUGGGGUUGUAGGACUGCGAUAUUGGUUGUGUAAUGAAUUAGAAUCCUUUGGAAAGAGGAACCAUAGAGGGUGAUAGUCCCGUAUAAGUAAAGAUCAUUAACCAUAGCAGUAUCCUGAGUAGUGCGGGACACGUGUAAUCCUGUAUGAAUUUGGCGGGACCAUCCGCUAAGGCUAAAUACUCCUGAGAGACCGA